This 459-nucleotide ribosomal RNA is filed under the name uncultured bacterium. RNAcentral describes it as "partial 16S ribosomal RNA". It matches the Rfam family "Bacterial small subunit ribosomal RNA", at positions 338 to 795 of the family's 1533-position model. The record is from RNAcentral.
CCUACGGUGUGCAGCCGUGAGGAAUAUUGGUCAAUGGCCGAGAGGCUGAACCAGCCAAGUCGCGUGAGGGAAGAAUGUCCUAUGGAUUGUAAACAUCUUUUGUCAGGGAGCAAAGUCACCCACGUGUGGGUGUUGGAGAGUACCUGAAGAAAAAGAAUCGGCCAACUCCGGGCCAGCAGCCGCGGUAAUACGGAGGAUGCGAGCGUGAUCCGGAUUUAAUGGGUUGAAAGGGUGCGUAGGCGGGUUAUCAAGUCAGCGGUAAAAUCGUGGAGCUCAACUCCAUCCAGACGUGGAAACUGAUGAUCUUGAGUGGGCGAGAAGUAUGCGGAAGGCGUGGUGUAGCGGUGAAAUGCAUAGAUAUCACGCAGAACUCCGAUUGCGAAGGCAGCAUACCGGCGCCCGACUGACGCUGAAGCACGAAAGCGUGGGUAUCGAACAGGAUUAGAUACCCUUGUAGUC